RNAcentral lists this ribosomal RNA (465 nucleotides) under Vreelandella stevensii. RNAcentral describes it as "partial 16S ribosomal RNA". It matches the Rfam family "Bacterial small subunit ribosomal RNA", at positions 338 to 795 of the family's 1533-position model. Lineage: Bacteria; Pseudomonadati; Pseudomonadota; Gammaproteobacteria; Oceanospirillales; Halomonadaceae. The record is from RNAcentral.
CCUACGGGGCGCUGCAGUGGGGAAUAUUGGACAAUGGGCGAAAGCCUGAUCCAGCCAUGCCGCGUGUGUGAAGAAGGCCUUCGGGUUGUAAAGCACUUUCAGUGGGGAAGAAAGCCUUGGGGCUAAUACCCUCGAGGAAGGACAUCACCCACAGAAGAAGCACCGGCUAACUCCGUGCCAGCAGCCGCGGUAAUACGGAGGGUGCGAGCGUUAAUCGGAAUUACUGGGCGUAAAGCGCGCGUAGGCGGUCUGAUAAGCCGGUUGUGAAAGCCCCGGGCUCAACCUGGGAACGGCAUCCGGAACUGUCAGGCUAGAGUGCAGGAGAGGAAGGUAGAAUUCCCGGUGUAGCGGUGAAAUGCGUAGAGAUCGGGAGGAAUACCAGUGGCGAAGGCGGCCUUCUGGACUGACACUGACGCUGAGGUGCGAAAGCGUGGGUAGCGAACAGGAUUAGAUACCCGGGUAGUC